AACAAAUAUGCUAACUCAAUUCAUUUUGUUGACUUUACUUAAAGUGCUAUUGUUUGUUUACCUUACUGGUGUAGAUCUAUUAAAUCUUAUUUGUGCUAGAAGUCCUAGUUACUCAAAUGUCCCUAGUUAAGGUUACAUGAUUUGUUUGAGUGCAGUGCAAUCCAUGUGACCACUGACGUCAUCAGGGUUUGGAUUGAGAAUUUUCUGAUCAACGGCCAUCUUGUUUUGUGGAAGACCUCGGCUGAUAAACAAUAAAACUGGAAAGAGAUUUUUGUGACAAUUUGCACAACAGUUUGGAGAUGUUAUCACAUCACAAAAGCCCAUGCCUGCUGGAUUAAUAUGCAUUUGAGGAGAUACCAAAGGUGAUUCCAAAGCAAUACAUACAUAUAUGAGGAAAAACAGACAACUUGGAGAAGGAAACUGAGGUUACUCUUCAACACACUGCAGUUCUCCAUGGCAUUCCUGUCCUGCUUGGGCACAACACGGAGAGCAAAGGUCUUGCGUGUUUAUUUUCAUGUUUUCUCUUGAUUCAGCUAUUGUGUUUAUUUGAUGACACAAGUUGACAUUGCAAUACAAUGUCAAAGGAGUUAGACAGUCUGAGCAAAUGUAUAUAAAAGUAUAUUAAGUGUGCGUUCUUUUUAUUGUUUUAAUCUGCUCAGGGGAUAUUAUUCCUCUCAAAUGUUCUUUUGUUGGUUUUGAUUGCUUCUAUUGUCCUCAUUUGUAAGUCAAUUUGGAUAAAUGACUAAUUGUAAAUGUACAACUCUUAACAUUUAAUUUGGGAAUUUUUUCUGAUUCAAGCCUUGUUAAUGAACAACUAUUACAAAUUACCAUGUUGAUUUAC
This is a long non-coding RNA of Onychostoma macrolepis, 841 nucleotides long. RefSeq lists it as uncharacterized. The record is from RefSeq and is a predicted model, not a curated record. The transcript has 5 exons. NCBI's taxonomy places the organism in Eukaryota, Metazoa, Chordata, Actinopteri, Cypriniformes, Cyprinidae.